GCAGUCGAGCGAGACCUUCGGGUCUAGCGGCGGACGGGUGAGUAACGCGUGGGAACGUGCCCUUUGCUACGGAAUAGUCCCGGGAAACUGGGUUUAAUACCGUAUGUGCCCUUCGGGGGAAAGAUUUAUCGGCAAAGGAUCGGCCCGCGUUGGAUUAGGUAGUUGGUGGGGUAAUGGCCUACCAAGCCGACGAUCCAUAGCUGGUUUGAGAGGAUGAUCAGCCACACUGGGACUGAGACACGGCCCAGACUCCUACGGGAGGCAGCAGUGGGGAAUCUUAGACAAUGGGGGC
Molecule: ribosomal RNA, 292 nt
Filed under: uncultured bacterium
Lineage: Bacteria
Description: partial 16S ribosomal RNA
Rfam family: Bacterial small subunit ribosomal RNA
Source: RNAcentral